UGGCUCUCGCAUCGAUGAAGAACGCAGCGAAAUGUGAUACGUAGUGUGAAUUGCAGAAUUCAGUGAAUCAUCGAAUCUUUGAACGCAUCUUGCGCUCCCUGGUUAUUCCGAGGAGCAUGUCUGUUUGAGUGUCGUGAUCCCUCUCAACUCCUUACGCUUGAUUUUCAUUAGUCUGGCGCUGGGCGGUUGGAUCGUGGCCCCUGCCGUCUUCUCUUCGUUCAUUCGAUCGAGGAGACAGCUCGGCCGAAAUGGAGACGAGUGCUUCAGCCUACGACUGGCAUGUUGGAAUCACUUGGCGUUGUAACCAUCCUCGCCUAUCACAGUCGAUUCUUCGUUCGGAAGUCAGAAGGCGCACUUUGAAAUCACCCUAUCGAAAAAUAUGACCUCAAAUCAGGCAGGACUACCCGCUGA
RNAcentral lists this unclassified non-coding RNA (411 nucleotides) under uncultured fungus. RNAcentral describes it as "partial contains 5.8S ribosomal RNA and internal transcribed spacer 2". The stretch from base 1 to 134 matches the Rfam family "5.8S ribosomal RNA", at positions 22 to 154 of the family's 154-position model. Lineage: Eukaryota; Fungi. The record is from RNAcentral.